UAUUAAAAAAUUCAUCAUUUCUACGGUUAAAUACUAGUGUGGCUAGUAGAAUAACUAAAUAGUUACACGUAACGUGUCACAUGUACCUCUUUUUGACAUAUAGAGACUAAAUUUUAACAGUAAUGGAUAGAAUUUUUAGCA
This is a non-coding RNA of Gossypium raimondii (Peruvian cotton), 141 nucleotides long. The record is from Rfam. Lineage: Eukaryota; Viridiplantae; Streptophyta; Magnoliopsida; Malvales; Malvaceae.